GGUCUGUAGCUUAGUGGCAGAGUGCCUGCCUUGCAUGUGUGAGGCACUGAGUUCAAUCCUCAGCACCG
This 68-nucleotide transfer RNA is filed under the name Marmota monax (woodchuck). Its description in RNAcentral is "tRNA.Ala". The stretch from base 5 to 65 matches the Rfam family "tRNA", at positions 6 to 65 of the family's 71-position model. Rfam says of the family: Transfer RNA (tRNA) molecules are approximately 80 nucleotides in length. The record is from RNAcentral. Lineage: Eukaryota; Metazoa; Chordata; Mammalia; Rodentia; Sciuridae.